AGUGAACGCUGGCGGUAGGCCUAACACAUGCAAGUCGAACGGCAGCACAGGAGAGCUUGCUCUCUGGGUGGCGAGUGGCGGACGGGUGAGGAAUACAUCGGAAUCUACUCUGUCGUGGGGGAUAACGUAGGGAAACUUACGCUAAUACCGCAUACGACCUGCGGGUGAAAGCAGGGGAUCUUCGGACCUUGCGCGAUUGAAUGAGCCGAUGUCGGAUUAGCUAGUUGGCGGGGUAAAGGCCCACCAAGGCGACGAUCCGUAGCUGGUCUGGGAGGAUGGUCAGCCACACUGGAACUGAGACACGGUCCAGACUCCUACGGGAGGCAGCAGUGGGGAAUAUUGGACAAUGGGCGCAAGCAUGAUCCAGCCAUACCGCGUGGGUGAAGAAGGCCUUCGGGUUGUAAAGCCCUUUUGUUGGGAAAAAAAUCCAGCUGGCUAAUACCCGGUUGGGAUGACGGUACCCAAAGAAUAAGCACCGGCUAUCUUCGUGCCAGCCGCCGCCGUAA
Molecule: ribosomal RNA, 506 nt
Filed under: uncultured bacterium
Lineage: Bacteria
Description: partial 16S ribosomal RNA
Rfam family: Bacterial small subunit ribosomal RNA
Source: RNAcentral